RNAcentral lists this ribosomal RNA (253 nucleotides) under uncultured bacterium. RNAcentral describes it as "partial 16S ribosomal RNA". It matches the Rfam family "Bacterial small subunit ribosomal RNA", at positions 524 to 776 of the family's 1533-position model. The record is from RNAcentral.
UACAGAGGUCCCAAGCGUUGUUCGGAUUCACUGGGCGUAAAGGGUGCGUAGGCGGUCGGGUAAGUCUGAUGUGAAAUCUCACAGCUUAACUGUGAAACUGCAUUGGAUACUAUUCGGCUAGAGAGUUGGAGGGGGGACUGGAAUUCUUGGUGUAGCAGUGAAAUGCGUAGAUAUCAAGAGGAACACCAGUGGCGAAGGCGAGUCUCUGGACAACUUCUGACGCUGAGGCACGAAAGCUAGGGGAGCAAACAGG